CACACCGCCCGUCACACCAUGAGAGCCGGUAACACCCGAAGUCAGAAGCCUAACCGCAAGGAGGGCGCUGCCGAAGGUGGGAUUGGUAAUUGGGGUGAAGUCGUAACAAGGUACC
RNAcentral lists this ribosomal RNA (115 nucleotides) under uncultured bacterium. RNAcentral's name for it is "partial 16S ribosomal RNA". It matches the Rfam family "Bacterial small subunit ribosomal RNA", at positions 1386 to 1500 of the family's 1533-position model. The record is from RNAcentral.